RNA transcript from Zea mays, 1698 nucleotides. It is a transcript of the gene named nuclear envelope-associated protein pseudogene, with no coding region annotated. NCBI's taxonomy places the organism in Eukaryota, Viridiplantae, Streptophyta, Magnoliopsida, Poales, Poaceae. The transcript has 6 exons. The record is from RefSeq and is marked validated.
CCACAAAUCACGCCAAUCCAUGGCAGCCCGCGUGCCCCGCUCCCCCGCAGCGCCUGGCUCCCCUUUCCUUGCGCGACGCGAGAUCGGCGAGAUUGCCCUCAACGCGCUCGCGUCGCGCCGCGGAUCCCCCACCCUCCUCCCCUCUGCACGCCGCCAUCAACUCGCACCGGCCCUCGCCCGUGAUCCAUCCUCUCCCCCGCGGCAAUGAUAUGGCGUCCCCCCUCAACCGACCAUUCCCGCAGCGGAUCCGCACCAACCCGUUCGCGCCGGCCUCUGGAAGAAGAAUCCACCGAAGGCGAAAACGACGACGGAGGUCCGGCUGACUCGUCUGGGUCUUUGCAAUAGCGGCAAGCGGGUUGGAGCUCCGCUUCGGGCAGGGGAGAACCACGUGGAGACCUGGAGUCACGCUGCCUAGACUCGCCGCUGGGUGGAUUCGUCGCGAUGGAGGUCGGAUUGUGAACACGCCGUCCAGUUAGGACGCUGUCGUCUUCAGAUCCAGGGGAUGGGGUUGCUCGGCAUGGCGGCCAAGGGCCCCUCGCCCACGCGUCGCCUAAUGCCACAGCCGCACUUGGCCGUCUCCUCGCUGGCGGCCUCCGUGGCUCUGAUCCACUGCUUCCUCAACACCCGGAGAUGGUUGACGUCGCCUUCGUCGUCUCCUCGCCAGUGGCCUCCACCAGCCCCGCAGUCCAAGACAAAGCCACGACAUGAGUCAACCCAAGUCCGGUCGCACCUACACCGAUGGCCGUACCCAACAAGUUGAGCUUUAAGAGGAACGUGGUGUCAUUGUCAUCUGAGCUCAAGGGUGUGAGGAGCAAGCUUGCUUCCUAGGAGCAGCUGUUUGUAAGGGAAUCUCAAACUAGAAAGCUUGCGGAGACAAAAACAAGGAGCAUGGAAGAGGAAGUAAUCAAGCUGCAGAAAUGCUUACAGGACAAGGAUGGGCAACUGUGUUCAUCCACAAGUAGCACGGAACAGUACCAUCAUGAGUUGGAUGAUCUUAGAACACAUCUGUCAUUUACUCAAGCUACAGGAGAAGCAGGUGUUGCAUCAGCUAAGUUAGCUCGGAUGUAGUGCAUGUCAUUGCUGAAAGAGCUGAAUGAGAAGGACAACUCACUCAAAGACCAUAGACUUCGAGUGAACAAUCUAGGUGAGCAGCUUGAUCUUCUCCAGAAGGAUGUACAAGCAAGGGAGGUCACACAAAUGCAACUUAAAGAUAUAGUUAUAAGGAUCGAGACCAACAUCAUGGAUGAAGUUGCCAAAGCUUUUGAAAUUGCGAUGUUGAGAGGGGAAAUCAGAAUAUUGUCUACUCACUGGACGAACAAAACCAAGAACCUUGAAUCACAGUUAAAAAAGCACCAGAGAACUGAUCAGGAGCUGAAGAAGAGGGUUCUGAAGCUUGAAUUUUGUCUCUGGUCCUGUCAUCCACUGGUAUGGUGCAUAAAAAAGUAGGAACCACAAUGAGAUUGUAAUGCUGCACAUGGCACAUCAAGGUGCGCAAGAUAUGUACCGUAGAAAUUAUCGUAAAGUGCACACAGCUGUAUGUAUAGAUGUUUAGAAGUGGUCGAAGUUAGGCUUGCUCAACCGGGGCAAUGAUUUACUUAGCCUGCUGAAAUGUACUAUAGGUAGCAUUCAAGUUUGUGACCAUCAUGCAAGUACAUGUGGGUUUGUUGAAAUUGAGUGGUCAUCGGAGAAGUAGCAAAA